GGAGUUAGCCGGUGCUUCUUCUGUGAGUGAUGUCCUUCCUGCCGGCUAUUAACCCGCAGGCCUUCUUCCUCACUGAAAGUGCUUUACAACCCGAAGGCCUUCUUCACACACGCGGCAUGGCUGGAUCAGGGUUGCCCCCAUUGUCCAAUAUUCCCCACUGCUGCCUCCCGUAGGAGUCUGGGCCGUGUCUCAGUCCCAGUGUGGCUGAUCAUCCUCUCAGACCAGCUACGGGAUCGUCGCCUUGGUGAGCCGUUACCUCACCAACCAGCUAAUCCGACAUAGGCUCAUCCGAUAGCGCGAGGCCCGAAGGUCCCCCGNUUUCCCCCGUAGGGCGUAUGCGGUAUUAGCCUGGGUUUCCCCAGGGUUAUCCCCCACUACCGGGCAGAUUCCUAUGCAUUACUCACCCGUCCGCCGCUCGCCACCAGGGAGCAAGCUCCCCGUGCUGCCGCUCGACUUGCAUGUGUUAGGCCUGCCGCCAGCGUUCAAUCUGAGCCAGGAUCAAACUCUGA
Molecule: ribosomal RNA, 509 nt
Filed under: uncultured bacterium
Lineage: Bacteria
Description: partial 16S ribosomal RNA
Source: RNAcentral